This 425-nucleotide ribosomal RNA is filed under the name uncultured bacterium. Its description in RNAcentral is "partial 16S ribosomal RNA". It matches the Rfam family "Bacterial small subunit ribosomal RNA", at positions 354 to 796 of the family's 1533-position model. The record is from RNAcentral.
GUGGGGAAUCUUGCGCAAUGGGCGAAAGCCUGACGCAGCCAUGCCGCGUGAAUGAUGAAGGUCUUAGGAUUGUAAAAUUCUUUCACCGGGGACGAUAAUGACGGUACCCGGAGAAGAAGCCCCGGCUAACUUCGUGCCAGCAGCCGCGGUAAUACGAAGGGGGCUAGCGUUGCUCGGAAUUACUGGGCGUAAAGGGCGCGUAGGCGGACAGUUUAGUCAGAGGUGAAAGCCCAGGGCUCAACCUUGGAAUUGCCUUUGAUACUGGCUGUCUUGAGUACGGGGGAGGUGAGUGGAACUCCGAGUGUAGAGGUGAAAUUCGUAGAUAUUCGGAAGAACACCAGUGGCGAAGGCGACUCACUGGCCCGUUACUGACACUGAGGCGCGAAAGCGUGGGGAGCAAACAGGAUUAGAAACCCUGGUAGUCC